CCGACCGACUCCCAGCGGGCGUUGCGCCGCUCCUCGCGGCCUCCAGGAAGCGGGGGCUUCUGGGACUUGUAGUGCGCGCCCGCGCCUCCCACUUCCUGGGGGUUCGCAGCACAGGUGCCAGCUAGAAGCCUCAGAGCUCUACUCAACUCUUUUAAUUGCUCCUUGGAGUGGUCUACUCACCACAUCCAUUUGAUGCUCAAUCCCAAUGUCUUUCAAAUGAAUGGAUCUUCAAAUUGAUUUAAUACAUCUUUACCAGCAUUAAAAAAAAAAAAAAAGAAGAAGAAAUAGAAAAUCUCAAGUACAUGAAAUGAGUAAAGGCAUAUAUCCUGAUAAUACCAUAAAAAGAUUCAGUGAACUUCCUGUACAUCUGAUCACACA
Long non-coding RNA from Herpailurus yagouaroundi (jaguarundi), 378 nucleotides. RefSeq lists it as uncharacterized. Lineage: Eukaryota; Metazoa; Chordata; Mammalia; Carnivora; Felidae. The record is from RefSeq and is a predicted model, not a curated record. The transcript is spliced from 3 exons.